Molecule: small RNA, 167 nt
Filed under: Corynebacterium mustelae
Lineage: Bacteria; Bacillati; Actinomycetota; Actinomycetes; Mycobacteriales; Corynebacteriaceae
Description: yybP-ykoY leader
Source: RNAcentral
CUUCACGUUGGAGGGGAGUACCCCACAAACAACGUGGAUCGUCAGCACGUGACUUACAGAACUUCGGUUCUGUGGUGAUCCGGUCCCGUUGGGUUAGCUUUGAGUUUUUCGAUUCCGUGAACCGUCGAAAAGCAUGAAGUUAACCGGGGGAGACCUCCGGCUCUAUU